This 467-nucleotide ribosomal RNA is filed under the name uncultured bacterium. Its description in RNAcentral is "partial 16S ribosomal RNA". It matches the Rfam family "Bacterial small subunit ribosomal RNA", at positions 28 to 506 of the family's 1533-position model. The record is from RNAcentral.
GACGAACGCUGGCGGCGUGCUUAACACAUGCAAGUCGAACGGAAAGGCCCUGCUUUUGUGGGGUGCUCGAGUGGCGAACGGGUGAGUAACACGUGAGUAACCUGCCCUUGACUUUGGGGUAACUUCAGGAAACUGGGGCUACUACCGGAUAGGAGCUCCUGCUGCAUGGAGGGGGUUGGAAAGUUUCGGCGGUUGGGGUUGGACUCGCGGCUUAUCGACUUGUUGGUGGGGGAGGGGCUUACCAAGGCUUUGACGGGUAGCCGGCCUGGGAGGGUGACCGGGCACAGUGGGACUGGGGUAGGGCCCAGAGUCAUACGGGAGGCAGGGGUGGGGAAUAUUGCACAAGGGGCGGAGGCGGGAUGGAGGAACGUCGCGUGGGGGAGGACGGCUUUUGGGUAGGAAAACGAUUUCGCCUGUGACGAGGCGUGAGGGAGGGUAAUGGAUAAAGAGGAACGGGUUAAUUACGU